RNAcentral lists this ribosomal RNA (207 nucleotides) under uncultured bacterium. Its description in RNAcentral is "partial 16S ribosomal RNA". It matches the Rfam family "Bacterial small subunit ribosomal RNA", at positions 568 to 774 of the family's 1533-position model. The record is from RNAcentral.
UGCGUAGGCGGUUUACUAAGUCAGAUGUGAAAGCCCCGGGCUUAACCUGGGAACUGCAUUUGAGACUGGAAGACUCGAGUUGAGUAGAGGGGAGUGGAAUUUCAGGUGUAGCGGUGAAAUGCGUAGAGAUCUGAAGGAACACCAGUGGCGAAGGCGACUCCCUGGACUCAAACUGACGCUGAGGUACGAAAGCGUGGGUAGCAAACA